RNAcentral lists this ribosomal RNA (1851 nucleotides) under Klebsiella pneumoniae. Its description in RNAcentral is "partial 23S ribosomal RNA". It matches the Rfam family "Bacterial large subunit ribosomal RNA", at positions 398 to 2236 of the family's 2925-position model. Lineage: Bacteria; Pseudomonadati; Pseudomonadota; Gammaproteobacteria; Enterobacterales; Enterobacteriaceae. The record is from RNAcentral.
UGUGAACUCGAAGAGUAGGGCGGGACACGUGGUAUCCUGUCUGAAUAUGGGGGGACCAUCCUCCAAGGCUAAAUACUCCUGACUGACCGAUAGUGAACCAGUACCGUGAGGGAAAGGCGAAAAGAACCCCGGCGAGGGGAGUGAAAAAGAACCUGAAACCGUGUACGUACAAGCAGUGGGAGCACCUUCGGGUGUGACUGCGUACCUUUUGUAUAAUGGGUCAGCGACUUAUAUUCUGUAGCAAGGUUAACCGUAUAGGGGAGCCGCAGGGAAACCGAGUCUUAACUGGGCGUUAAGUUGCAGGGUAUAGACCCGAAACCCGGUGAUCUAGCCAUGGGCAGGUUGAAGGUUGGGUAACACUAACUGGAGGACCGAACCGACUAAUGUUGAAAAAUUAGCGGAUGACUUGUGGCUGGGGGUGAAAGGCCAAUCAAACCGGGAGAUAGCUGGUUCUCCCCGAAAGCUAUUUAGGUAGCGCCUCGUGAACUCAUCUUCGGGGGUAGAGCACUGUUUCGGCUAGGGGGUCAUCCCGACUUACCAACCCGAUGCAAACUACGAAUACCGAAGAAUGUUAUCACGGGAGACACACGGCGGGUGCUAACGUCCGUCGUGAAGAGGGAAACAACCCAGACCGCCAGCUAAGGUCCCAAAGUCAUGGUUAAGUGGGAAACGAUGUGGGAAGGCACAGACAGCCAGGAUGUUGGCUUAGAAGCAGCCAUCAUUUAAAGAAAGCGUAAUAGCUCACUGGUCGAGUCGGCCUGCGCGGAAGAUGUAACGGGGCUAAACCAUGCACCGAAGCUGCGGCAGCGACACUAUGUGUUGUUGGGUAGGGGAGCGUUCUGUAAGCCUGCGAAGGUGUGCUGUGAGGCAUGCUGGAGGUAUCAGAAGUGCGAAUGCUGACAUAAGUAACGAUAAAGCGGGUGAAAAGCCCGCUCGCCGGAAGACCAAGGGUUCCUGUCCAACGUUAAUCGGGGCAGGGUGAGUCGACCCCUAAGGCGAGGCCGAAAGGCGUAGUCGAUGGGAAACAGGUUAAUAUUCCUGUACUUGGUGUUACUGCGAAGGGGGGACGGAGAAGGCUAUGUUAGCCGGGCGACGGUUGUCCCGGUUUAAGCAUGUAGGCUGAUUGUCCAGGCAAAUCCGGAUAAUCAAGGCUGAGGUGUGAUGACGAGGCACUACGGUGCUGAAGUAACAAAUGCCCUGCUUCCAGGAAAAGCCUCUAAGCAUCAGGUAACAUCAAAUCGUACCCCAAACCGACACAGGUGGUCAGGUAGAGAAUACCAAGGCGCUUGAGAGAACUCGGGUGAAGGAACUAGGCAAAAUGGUGCCGUAACUUCGGGAGAAGGCACGCUGGUGUGUAGGUGAAGUCCCUGCGGAUGGAGCUGAGACCAGUCGAAGAUACCAGCUGGCUGCAACUGUUUAUUAAAAACACAGCACUGUGCAAACACGAAAGUGGACGUAUACGGUGUGACGCCUGCCCGGUGCCGGAAGGUUAAUUGAUGGGGUUAUCCGUAAGGAGAAGCUCUUGAUCGAAGCCCCGGUAAACGGCGGCCGUAACUAUAACGGUCCUAAGGUAGCGAAAUUCCUUGUCGGGUAAGUUCCGACCUGCACGAAUGGCGUAAUGAUGGCCAGGCUGUCUCCACCCGAGACUCAGUGAAAUUGAACUCGCUGUGAAGAUGCAGUGUACCCGCGGCAAGACGGAAAGACCCCGUGAACCUUUACUAUAGCUUGACACUGAACAUUGAGCCUUGAUGUGUAGGAUAGGUGGGAGGCUUUGAAGCGUGGACGCCAGUCUGCGUGGAGCCAACCUUGAAAUACCACCCUUUAAUGUUUGAUGUUCUAACGUUGGCCCCU